This is a non-coding RNA of Marmota flaviventris (yellow-bellied marmot), 510 nucleotides long. The record is from the annotation of a RefSeq genome assembly. NCBI's taxonomy places the organism in Eukaryota, Metazoa, Chordata, Mammalia, Rodentia, Sciuridae.
GGGUACAGAUGGCCUGCAGGGAGGGUCAUGUGAGAGCAUGACAUUGAUGCUCUUGGGGAGACUAGAACUUCAGAACCUCCUGCUCAGCCCAGAAGGCCCCACCCCUCAGCCAGGAGUCCUUGGGUUCCUGAUGCUGCCAUGGGCUCCAGGCUCCUCUGCUGGGUGGCCCUUUCUCUGCUGGGAGCAGGCCCAGUGGACUCUGGAGUCAAGCAAACCCCAAAACAUCUGAUCAAAGCAAAAGGACAGCAAGUGACACUGAGAUGCUCCCCUCUCCCUGAACACCUCUCUGUGUACUGGUACCAGCAGACCCCGGGCCAGGGGCCUCAGUUUCUCUUUCAGUAUUACAGUGGGGAAGAGAGAGAAAAAGGGACGAACAUCCCCAGUCGAUUCUCAGCGCAGCAGUUCCCUGACUACAGCUCUGAACUCAACCUGAGCUCCUUGGCGCUGGGCGACUCAGCUCUGUUCCUCUGUGCCAGCAGCCUGGCACAGCCACCCAUGAGUCCCCACUAG